UACGUCAAAAAAUUUAAGAAAUAAUUUGGGAAAGGCGCGCCAUAAGACUUUGGGUUAUAUCGACUGAUAUAGUCACUGUAUGAACGAUGCCAAUUCAUGUGCAAGAUUUCCCAUUUGUGUCAUACCAUUUCAACAGUAUCAUAUUUAGAAAUAAACACAGGUUGUCCCAAAAAUAUGUGUACACAACAGUAACAUUGCUGGCCGCUUGUCAGCUGCGCCACGAAGCUAACGGCGGUCAUUUUGUACACCUAUAUUACAUUUGCUAGCUCACUAAGUUCCAAUUUUUACGUAUUUAAUAUUUUGUUUGUUAACGUGUUUUUAUUUCAUUAAUUUAAUAUGUGAAUACAUCUUCUUGGGGCAGCCUGUUUAUGCAGGCCUCGUGUAUAAUGUACUGACGCCAAACACCACAACGAUCGAAAAUUGUACAAAUGGAUGACAGGUCGGACGACCAAAGUUCGAUUCCCAUCAAAGGAAGUGAGUUUUCUCUUCGACACCGCCUUCAGAUCGAACCGGGGCCCACACAGCUUAUCAAAUGGGUACCGGGGUUUCCUACCACAUGGAAUAUAAUCCAGGAUAUGAAGUUCUUUUUCCAACCAAAGACGGGGUUAAAGCAGGCAAAUCUUUAAACAUAUAUUAAUUCUAUCUUAACGUCAUUAUUCAUGGUGUCGUGCUUAAGGAACAGAUGAACUUUAACUUUUACACUUAUCGGGAAACAGGAGUUCACAUGUCUACAUUAAAGUCCCAAAAGAAUUCACAUUUGUACCUGUUGUCGAUCUAUUUUGUAUUGAGUAUUAAAGUAUUCUUGUUUUCUUUAUUUUAGUGUAUUAAUUUAAGUAUUAUUAAGUCGGUAGGGAUUUGAACCCUUUUCUCUUACUUUCAAGGUAUUUGCAUAUCAUAAAGCUUUCCGACUAUUUUGUUAUCUUAUGAUUGUUAAUGUUUGUCCUGUCAUAGGAAGAAUGGAAGUCGUGCUGAACUUUUUGGAUCAAAUCCACAUUCAAAUUGUGAUCUCUUUUCUCGAUCUUCAAUGUUUUUCUGAUAGAGUUGUUGCUAUUAUUAUAAUAAUUAUUGAUAGUGUUAUAAUAGUUGUAAUUAUUAAUGUUACUGCUUUAAUUAUUUAUCUUGUUAUUUCAAACUUCUUGAUUAGAAGUCAAAUACAUACUUAUUAUAUUAGAUAAAUUUAUUUGUAACAAUUUGAAACACAAUUAAUGUAAGUGCAUGGUUGUACUGUGCAUUUUCAAACGAUAAUAAUCAGAAAUGUUGUUUUAUUUACAAAAUGGCCGUCUAAAUAUGAAAGGAGCAGAUAUUUAAUCAACCUGAAUAGAACAAUAAAUAAAAUGAGACUACGUCAUAAAGGCACGCGUUAUUCGUUUCUUGUUAAUUUCAAAAGUUUCCCUCGAAGGGUCUUAGCCUCCUUACUCAUGGGAGGUUACUUAAACUAUUAAGAUAUGUGGUACGACUCCUUGGACGAGUGAUCAGCCAGUCACAAGGCCGUUGUUAUAUAUUAAAACUUUAAAAAAUUUCGAAUUAUUGUAAGUCAAAGUACUUCGAGCAGAAAUAGUUUCCUCCCCUUAAUUUGUACAAUCUUUACAAGCCUCUAUAUAUAUAUCUCAUCACCUCCUGCUGCAAUCCAUCCUUUAUCCUUUGUGUGAACAAUAUUUGAUAUCUGAAAACUGUGCAAAGAGCAAUGCAAAUCUAGAUUAAAUCCGCCAUGUUAUCCACAGCUAUCGCAUUUUACGGACUGGGUCAUUCUUUAUGAGUUCUUUAAAAAUAUACAUAAAAGCAGAAAAUUCAUUCCAGAAUUUUACUUCUUUAUUUAAAAUCGUAUCUCACUUCCUUCAGAUACCAGCGAGAACAAGACCGAAGUAACAGAUUCGUAUUUCAUGUUUCAAUAAUCUCAGCGAGUACAGAAAGGAACGUUGGUAAUUGCUCGCUUUUCAUUUUCGCAACCCGAGUCACAAAGAAUAAAGGGCAGUCAUGUCGAAGGAACUGGAUGGAUUUUUCAUCUAUUCGUCUUUUUAAAAUUCUUUCGUUUCUCUAGAAUUUUGCGUUUCUCCAACUCAGAUUAUGCGACCAUAAGCUAUCUUCACAGUGUAUAAAGCUAUUCAUGUCCAACCUUGCUCCUUCACUUGGCAACAAUUCAAUUCAUAAACAAAUCACUAUGCAACGCCAUGAAGGAAAAAACUAGAUAAUAUGUCGUGUCACAUCCGGUAACAUUUUAUGUACUUCUUGUAGGUCAUCUGGAAAUAACAUAAAUCUUCUAUUAUAAGCUUUGUACUUUCCUACAAUAAACAAGUGAUUUAAU
Molecule: long non-coding RNA, 2302 nt
Organism: Zootermopsis nevadensis
Lineage: Eukaryota; Metazoa; Arthropoda; Insecta; Blattodea; Termopsidae
Source: RefSeq, a predicted model, not a curated record